AUGACCUAUAAACAAAACAUAAUACUUCAUCAUUCUAGGUGACCAUUUAACGUUAAAUAGUCACAUUUCAUUACCCAUAUUCAGUGAGUGAACAAAUUCCACCGCACCAUUGUUUUUUUAGCAGUUUUACGAUGACCAGUGUCCGGGACGGUUGCGUAAAAACGGCUCCUCGUGAAUGUCAAUCAAAUUGUUCAGAGAUGCCCCCGAAGAAGGAGUCCUUUGGGAUUUCGCCACCCGGCAAUUGAAAGUAGCGAUUGAUUCCUUUGGCCCCAGUCUACAAAAAAGGCGCCGUAAUGUAUUCGGGCUUUGAAGCUCAGCUGCGAAGAGUCCUGAGGCAUCUGAGGCCAAACGUUGUAUCCUGGAACGCGGCAGCCGUGAGAGAUAAAGGCCCCUUCGGCUUGGCGUUGAAUGAAAACUGUUGUUGCUUCCAACAGUUGGCGAACAUCCCAGCGGGCAUCUCCAUCGUCCACAAGUUGUCUAAAUUGCUUUUCUCCAGGAAACUUGGUCCACCAAAAUGCUUGAACCUUCCAUGAGUGGGUAUAUUAGGGCAAGGUAAAGUUUAAGAAGUUGGUCAGCUAUUUUGGGAGGCCAGAUUGCACAGAUGAAAAGAAAAUGACACAAAGCCAUGCAGCAACUGGGGCGUAAGAAGGGACACUGCAAAGAACGCUCACCACUGUCUGCAGUGUCCCACACAAGAAGCAAAACAUGCUAUCUGAUGCCCUAAUUGUGAGACUUAUUCCCGCCUAUCCAGUCUCCUAAGGUGCCGCAGUGUUCAUUGCGUUGAGAGGCAAUGAGAAUGCCCCAGUAUCCCUUCACUCAGGAUCCGCCACUUCGAGAGAGAGAGAAAAAGCAUCACGGGACGAUUUCAAAAACCCUUCGUCUACUUAGUGUUUGUUGCGGAGGGCACUGGCUGUGUUCGCUUUUACUUUGGAAAUCGGCCUUCAAGUCACACCUUUAUUCUUCUGCACACACCAAUUGCAUCUGGAAGGACAACCUGUCUUUCCCCAGGUCCUGCUUGUCUCCACGCUGCCAACCUCCGGAGUCGUGAAAAGGCCUGAUUCUGUUUUAUAGCUGGUGGGGAUAUAAGCCGUAGUUACUGAACCUUGGCAGUGUGCUGCAUCCAAUGGUUUCGGACGCCUUUCUGACUACGAGAGCAUUUUUG
Molecule: long non-coding RNA, 1162 nt
Organism: Macrobrachium nipponense
Lineage: Eukaryota; Metazoa; Arthropoda; Malacostraca; Decapoda; Palaemonidae
Exons: 7
Source: RefSeq, a predicted model, not a curated record